Molecule: long non-coding RNA, 254 nt
Filed under: Elaeis guineensis (African oil palm)
Lineage: Eukaryota; Viridiplantae; Streptophyta; Magnoliopsida; Arecales; Arecaceae
Description: long non-coding RNA (EGUI_LNC076386)
Source: RNAcentral
GUACAUCGAUAGUUUAUCUUGAGUGUGUUAUAGUUUGACUACACCAUAACUCAGUCUCCUGGCCAUUCGAAAUCCUGAGUGUAUGUUGGCUGUAGCAUAUUCAUUGUAAGAACUAGGUCGCACCAAGAUGGGAUCUAUCAACCUCGGUAGAUGAGAGGAGUAGUCCUAUGAUGAUCGAAAGAUCGAGUCCUUAAGCCCAUGGCCAUAGCAGAGUAAAAUAAUAGAAAAAGAGUUUUUUAUUGGGGUUUCACAUC